Molecule: ribosomal RNA, 535 nt
Filed under: Microcoleus steenstrupii
Lineage: Bacteria; Bacillati; Cyanobacteriota; Cyanophyceae; Oscillatoriales; Microcoleaceae
Description: bacterial SSU rRNA
Rfam family: Bacterial small subunit ribosomal RNA
Source: RNAcentral
UCCUACGGGAGGCAGCAGUGGGGAAUUUUCCGCAAUGGGCGAAAGCCUGACGGAGCAAGACCGCGUGAGGGAGGAAGGCUCUUGGGUUGUAAACCUCUUUUAUCAGGGAAGAACACAAUGACGGUACCUGAAGAAUCAGCAUCGGCUAACUCCGUGCCAGCAGCCGCGGUAAUACGGAGGAUGCAAGCGUUAUCCGGAAUUAUUGGGCGUAAAGCGUCCGCAGGUGGCUAAUCAAGUCUGCUGUCAAAGGCUGGGGCUUAACCCCGGAAAGGCAGUGGAAACUGAGAAGCUAGAGUGCAGUAGGGGUAGAGGGAAUUCCCGGUGUAGCGGUGAAAUGCGUAGAGAUCGGGAAGAACAUCGGUGGCGAAAGCGCUCUACUGGACUGCAACUGACACUCAGGGACGAAAGCUAGGGGAGCGAAUGGGAUUAGAUACCCCAGUAGUCCUAGCCGUAAACGAUGGAUACUAGGUGUGGCUUGUAUCGACCCGAGCCGUGCCGUAGCUAACGCGUUAAGUAUCCCGCCUGGGGAGUACGC